This 260-nucleotide ribosomal RNA is filed under the name uncultured bacterium. RNAcentral's name for it is "partial 16S ribosomal RNA". It matches the Rfam family "Bacterial small subunit ribosomal RNA", at positions 95 to 353 of the family's 1533-position model. The record is from RNAcentral.
CCGGCGCACGGGUGAGUAACACGUAUCCAACCUGCCGUCUACUCUUGGACAGCCUUCUGAAAGGAAGAUUAAUACAAGAUGGCAUCAUGAGUCCGCAUGUUCACAUGAUUAAAGAUAUUCCGGUAGACGAUGGGGAUGCGUUCCAUUAGAUAGUAGGCGGGGUAACGGCCCACCUAGUCUUCGAUGGGUAGGGGUUCUGAGAGGAAGGUCCCCCACAUUGGAACUGAGACACGGUCCAAACUCCUACGGGAGGCAGCAUG